RNAcentral lists this transfer RNA (77 nucleotides) under Candidatus Spyradocola merdavium. RNAcentral describes it as "tRNA-Ala". It matches the Rfam family "tRNA". Rfam says of the family: Transfer RNA (tRNA) molecules are approximately 80 nucleotides in length. Their secondary structure includes four short double-helical elements and three loops (D, anti-codon, and T loops). Further hydrogen bonds mediate the characteristic L-shaped molecular structure. tRNAs have two regions of fundamental functional importance: the anti-codon, which is responsible for specific mRNA codon recognition, and the 3' end, to which the tRNAs corresponding amino acid is attached (by aminoacyl-tRNA synthetases). tRNAs cope with the degeneracy of the genetic code in two manners: having more than one tRNA (with a specific anti-codon) for a particular amino acid; and 'wobble' base-pairing, i.e. permitting non-standard base-pairing at the 3rd anti-codon position. Lineage: Bacteria; Bacillati; Bacillota; Clostridia; Christensenellales; Christensenellaceae. The record is from RNAcentral. RNAcentral also lists the same sequence under 2 other names.
GGGGCUAUAGUACAGUUGGCUAGUACGCAACACUGGCAGUGUUGAGGUCAGGGGUUCGAGUCCCCUUAGCUCCACCA